CGGACGGGCGAGUAACGCGUGAGCAACCUGUCCUUCAGAGGGGGACAACGGCUGGAAACGGCCGCUAAUACCGCAUGACAUAUCCGGAUGGCAUCGUCUGGAUAUCAAAGGAGAAAUCCGCUGAAGGGUGGGCUCGCGUCCGAUUAGCUAGUUGGUGAGGUAAUGGCCCACCAAGGCAACGAUCGGUAGCCGGACUGAGAGGUUGAACGGCCACAUUGGGACUGAGACACGGCCCAGACUCCUACGGGAGGCAGCAUG
This 258-nucleotide ribosomal RNA is filed under the name uncultured bacterium. RNAcentral's name for it is "partial 16S ribosomal RNA". It matches the Rfam family "Bacterial small subunit ribosomal RNA", at positions 99 to 353 of the family's 1533-position model. The record is from RNAcentral.